RNAcentral lists this ribosomal RNA (429 nucleotides) under Chloroflexota bacterium. Its description in RNAcentral is "Chloroflexi bacterium partial 16S ribosomal RNA". It matches the Rfam family "Bacterial small subunit ribosomal RNA", at positions 355 to 776 of the family's 1533-position model. Lineage: Bacteria; Bacillati; Chloroflexota. The record is from RNAcentral.
UGGGGAAUAUUGCACAAUGGGCGCAAGCCUGAUGCAGCCAUGCCGCGUGUAUGAAGAAGGCCUUCGGGUUGUAAAGUACUUUCAGUCGGGAGGAAGGUGUCAAGGUUAAUAACCUUGGCAAUUGACGUUACCGACAGAAGAAGCACCGGCUAACUCCGUGCCAGCAGCCGCGGUAAUACGGAGGGUGCAAGCGUUAAUCGGAAUUACUGGGCGUAAAGCGCACGCAGGCGGUUGAUUGAGUCAGAUGUGAAAUCCCCGGGCUUAACCCGGGAAUUGCAUCUGAUACUGGUCAGCUAGAGUCUUGUAGAGGGGGGUAGAAUUCUAUGUGUAGCGGUGAAAUGCGUAGAGAUGUGGAGGAAUACCGGUGGCGAAGGCGGCCCCCUGGACAAAGACUGACGCUCAGGUGCGAAAGCGUGGGGAGCAAACAGG